Molecule: ribosomal RNA, 449 nt
Filed under: uncultured bacterium
Lineage: Bacteria
Description: partial 16S ribosomal RNA
Rfam family: Bacterial small subunit ribosomal RNA
Source: RNAcentral
AACGAACGCUGGCGGCAGGCCUAAUACAUGCAAGUCGAACGCCCUAGCAAUAGGGAGUGGCGCACGGGUGAGUAAUGCAUGGGAACAUACCCUUCGGUACGGAACAACACCGGGAAACUGGUGCUAAUACCGUAUAACAUCUACGGAUCAAAGAUUUAUCGCCUGGGGAUUGGCCCAUGUUGGAUUAGCUUGUUGGUGGGGUAAUGGCCUACCAAGGCGACGAUCCAUAGCUGGUCUGAGAGGAUGAUCAGCCACACUGGAACUGAGACACGGUCCAGACUCCUACGGGAGGCAGCAGUAAGGAAUAUUGGACAAUGGGGGAAACCCUGAUCCAGCCAUGCCGCGUGAAUGAAGGAGGCCUUAGGGUUGUAAAGUUCUUUUAGGGAUGACGAUAAUGACGGUAGUCCCAGAAAAAGCUCCGGCUAACUCCGUGCCAGCAGCCGCGGUAA